UUCUUCAUAGUCUUCCUGCUUUGUUAGUCUACUUAGUAUAUUAUGCUAAUUCCAUAAUUGGUAAGAAGUUGAAGGUAUAGUCUACUCCAGUACGAAAGUAUUGGGCAAUUAGGUCCGUUGCAAGGGACUCCGAAGAGCUGUGGCAAGGGGUGAAAAGCCAAUCUAACCUGGAGAUAGCUGGUCUUCUGCGAAACCCGUUUUAGCGGGUCGCCCAUUUAUUGAAAUUAAAUUCGUUACUAGACGGUACGGCACUGGAAGCCACGCAGCUUUUGCUGCAUAAUCGGGGGGCUGUCAUGGCUCUAUCGAUGGCUUCUAACCCCGGAAAUGUAUAGUAUACAAUGAUGGGCAAUCAGACGUAUCGUGAUAAGGCGAUUCGUCAAAAGGGCA
RNAcentral lists this non-coding RNA (387 nucleotides) under Rhizophagus irregularis DAOM 197198w. Its description in RNAcentral is "Bacterial large subunit ribosomal RNA". It matches the Rfam family "Bacterial large subunit ribosomal RNA", at positions 743 to 1021 of the family's 2925-position model. The record is from Rfam by way of RNAcentral. Lineage: Eukaryota; Fungi; Glomeromycota; Glomeromycetes; Glomerales; Glomeraceae.